Molecule: RNA transcript, 628 nt
Organism: Cornus florida
Lineage: Eukaryota; Viridiplantae; Streptophyta; Magnoliopsida; Cornales; Cornaceae
Exons: 3
Source: RefSeq, a predicted model, not a curated record
UCUCUCUCUCUCUCUCCCCAAAACCCUAGAUGUAAGAAUGGCAUCAAGAGAUCUCAUCACAAGCUACUCGAAGCUCCUCUCUCGAAUGGCUGUUCGUUCCCUUCGCACCUUCGCUUAUUCCGACUCCAAUUCCGAAUCAUAUAUUCCAACUAACAAUUCGGACUCGGACUCGUGCUCCAAACAACUUCCUCACGCUGAAGGUAAGAAAAACAGAGCAUUCAAUCGAUUCCUAAAAGAAGGACCAGCAUAUCCCUGCAAAGAUGAUGAUCAACACUUGAUCAAUGAGUUCAAAUUCAAAUGGAAAUUACAUCUUCAUCUGUCAUAUCAUAUUUGGCUGACUAAUUCUUGCAUUGUUAGCCGCAAAUGAUGAUGAGGAACACUUGCGACAGCCGGCAAUGGUUUAUAAGCUUAGAGCCUGAUGCAGUUAGAGAUGUUGUGAGUAAUACCUUUUUUACUAAUGAAGCUGGUGAUGCAAUCAACGGUGAGGGCCCAGUUUCUACAUCCUCAAGGAAAUGCUAUAGCUAAUAGAGUUGCGUAUAUAGCUUCACGUUUGACCUUGGGAGUUGGGACAAAGUUUUCCGAAAGGCAAAAGAGGUUUUGAGACACAAGUCAUGUGUGAUCAAUUGAA